GAAAGCUUGCCGAUUGGUCGCCUCUGCUUUCUCUUCUUGCGUCUGAAAGGGAGAUGCCUGCCCUGAAUCAUGGCCUGAUCAUCGGUCGUGUCUUUAGAUUCCAAAUAAAGGUCAGCGGUCGCGUUGCUUUGGUAAAGAGUUGAUUAGUCAGGAUAAUCACGCCGCCGCCAUUCUUGUUGACGGGGAGUAUCGGAAUAUGCCGGUGUCCGGCAGCGGUCAGACACGCCGGCGGCGGCUUUGGCGAGACGAGUGCUGGGCUCGUCGGUGGACCGAACGGAAUUUGGUUUGGACACCACGUGCCAUACAAAACAAUCUUCUUGUUGCCAAAUUGUCUUGAU
Molecule: ribosomal RNA, 338 nt
Filed under: Triticum aestivum (bread wheat)
Lineage: Eukaryota; Viridiplantae; Streptophyta; Magnoliopsida; Poales; Poaceae
Description: partial small subunit ribosomal RNA
Source: RNAcentral